This 686-nucleotide ribosomal RNA is filed under the name uncultured bacterium. RNAcentral describes it as "bacterial SSU rRNA". It matches the Rfam family "Bacterial small subunit ribosomal RNA", at positions 102 to 806 of the family's 1533-position model. The record is from RNAcentral.
ACGGGUGAGUAACGCGUGGGUAACCUGCCUCAUACAGGGGGAUAACAGUUAGAAAUGACUGCUAAUACCGCAUAAGCGCACAGGGCUGCAUGGCCCGGUGUGAAAAACUCCGGUGGUAUGAGAUGGACCCGCGUCUGAUUAGCUGGUUGGAGGGGUAACGGCCCACCAAGGCGACGAUCAGUAGCCGGCCUGAGAGGGUGAACGGCCACAUUGGGACUGAGACACGGCCCAGACUCCUACGGGAGGCAGCAGUGGGGAAUAUUGCACAAUGGGGGAAACCCUGAUGCAGCGACGCCGCGUGAAGGAAGAAGUAUCUCGGUAUGUAAACUUCUAUCAGCAGGGAAGAAAAUGACGGUACCUGACUAAGAAGCCCCGGCUAACUACGUGCCAGCAGCCGCGGUAAUACGUAGGGGGCAAGCGUUAUCCGGAUUUACUGGGUGUAAAGGGAGCGUAGACGGAAGAGCAAGUCUGAUGUGAAAGGCUGGGGCUUAACCCCAGGACUGCAUUGGAAACUGUUUUUCUAGAGUGCCGGAGAGGUAAGCGGAAUUCCUAGUGUAGCGGUGAAAUGCGUAGAUAUUAGGAGGAACACCAGUGGCGAAGGCGGCUUACUGGACGGUAACUGACGUUGAGGCUCGAAAGCGUGGGGAACAAACAGGAUUAGAUACCCUGGUAGUCCACGCCGUAAA